AGCAGGGUAGAAGGGGGAAAUUUUUUCAAAAGCUCUUUGCUUUUUUGGCUAUAUCUUCAGAUCUUUAGUCACCUUUAGACUCUGUCCAAACCAAGGGUGGGAUGGCUGAGGUCUUGUAGAAAGGGGAACCUCUGAGAAUAGGACACUAUUUUCAUGGAUAGAUGUUUCUUUGUGGGAGACAGGGACAACUAGCCGGUGAAAAGAAGAGCCAGGAUCCUGGCUCCAACCAGCGACCUUGAAGGAGGCAAGUCUUCCUGGCCGCCUGGUGACAGGUCAGCAGCCUCACCCUGGGGGUGGGCAACGUUUGCCUGAGUGAGGGUGACGCCUAGCAAGGGGCACUUGAGGGGUUUGGAGGGAGGGGAUCUUUUUCCAUAGGAGCAUUGGGACAGGGGUUUAAGUGUAAAUUAGUAAAGGCUGAGGUGCCCUCUUGGAGGCGGGACGGAGCACUACCGCAGAGGGGACAAAAAGCCCUUGCCUCGCACCCAAUAAAUAUCUCCUUUGGUGGAUCUCAAAGAAUUAAGUCAAUUCGAAUCCAUGGACACAUAGACCAGCACCACUUCGAGAACUUCAGGUCUCCCUCUGGCUUUGGCUUGAACCUUGAUCUGCAGGGAGAGGGAUAGAGAGUAGGCUGGAGGCGACCCAGGGGGAGAAGAGCUCCUGAGAAGGACGUGGGGACAGGGCGGUCGCGGCCCUUACCUUGCUGACCACAUUCUGAACGAGGCCGGUGCGGAUGCCAUAGUCCCACUCGUGGCAAUCGCAGUUGGAGACGUUAUCCCCCUUGUCCGGAGGGGACGGGAGAGGUGGCGUGUCGCCCCCGUCCGUACCGCUGUUGUUGCUUCGGUUGCCCGCCGCCCCCCAGGCGGCCGUGGAGAAGGGGGUGGUCGGGGGACUAGUCCAAUUGCCCAUGUCGCCCCACCGGCCGGUGACUGUGGCCCCCGCCAGCUCGGCGCCUUUGCCGGCCCCGCGGCACCAGAAGUUGGGCUGGUCCAGGAGGAAGGAGUCCGAGAACUGGCUGAAGCCGAUGAACAGUGCUGGAAUCCAGGCAGGAAAGUGGGACUACUGAAUGACAGCCAAUAAGGAAGCUAAAUGGAGCCUCCAGCCUUCUAUGCUCUAUUUCCGCCAUAUGCUGGAGAUGAUGAGAAGAGCUGAGAGCGGACUUGGGGGACUGUGUGUUUGACUUCCUGUCUUCACAGAAGGGAAUGUGCUUCUGCUCCAUGUUAGGUCAGUGUGACCACUCACCAGUGAUUCUCCAGGGAGUUUCCAGGCCUUCAGCCUUGGAAUGAGGCUUCAUCAUUCGUAUCUCUUGUUCUGAGUUCCAGCUUCUAGGACUGAGCAACUGCUAGUUCCUCUGGCUCUCCAGUGUGCAAAUGGCUGUCAUGGGACUAUCCAGCUUCUGAUCAUGUAAACUAAUCCCCUUUAAUAGUCAUAUAAUAUGUAUA
Sciurus carolinensis (gray squirrel) is the source of this 1439-nucleotide long non-coding RNA. RefSeq lists it as uncharacterized. The record is from RefSeq and is a predicted model, not a curated record. The transcript is spliced from 4 exons. NCBI's taxonomy places the organism in Eukaryota, Metazoa, Chordata, Mammalia, Rodentia, Sciuridae.